RNAcentral lists this long non-coding RNA (1465 nucleotides) under Panthera leo (lion). RNAcentral's name for it is "lncRNA (ENSPLOG00000016720.1)". The record is from RNAcentral. Lineage: Eukaryota; Metazoa; Chordata; Mammalia; Carnivora; Felidae.
CUGCAUUAUACAUUAAAGGAAGAUCUUUUCAUUACUUAUGUCUCAUUGAGAACUAAAGUAAUAUCUCCAAAAUAAGAUCAUUUUAUCACUUUAAUUGUUUUUUAUCUUAGGGACUGCAGUUAUGGGUCCUCCUGGCCCCCCUGGCUUUCCUGGAGAAAGGGGCCAGAAAGGUGAUGAAGGUCCACCUGGACUUUCUAUUCCUGGAUCUCCUGGACUUGAUGGACAGCCUGGGGCUCCUGGACUUCCAGGGCCUCCUGGCCCUCCUGGCCCUCAAAUCCCUCCUAGUGAUGAGAUAUGUGAAGCAGGCCCUCCAGGCCCUCCAGGAUCUCCAGGUGAUAGAGGACUCCAAGGAGAACAAGGAGUGAAAGGUUUGAUCCCAAUAGUCAUUCCUUCAUUCUUUCAGAUCAUCAGCAAAAUCCCCUGUAUCCUCCACUCUACCUCAGCUACUCAUUCCCAGGGUCUUACCCCAAGACCAUCUCCUUACCAAUAGUGCACACCUCUGUAAUCUUGAUCUCAUGAGUCCCAUUUCCUGACCACUAUCUCCUGGCUAGCUCACUACCUGUAAUAACCUGACUCCAAUAUCACUUCAGCCACACUGAUACCUUCCAACUUUGACUAUCCCUCAACCUUUUCAUGUCCUUUCUUCCCUCUUCACCUAGGUAAAAUUACAUGAUCCAUCAUUGUAAACAAUCCCAUGCAUAAACCUUGGCCUCCAUUGCCCUCCUCUCACUUCAUUGUACUAACUUGGAACAAAAACCUAGUUUUGGUAAUUCCAAAUUACCACGUCUUCCGAGCCUACACCUUCUCUUCUCUCUUCAAAUUUUUAACACUUUCUCUUCCGUUCUCAUUUUAGUGUUCUGACCUUGCUUCCUUUUUCAUUGACCAAUUGAAGCAGUAAGAGAAUUCUCACAGAUUACUACUACCACAUUUACCCACCACAUUACUUGCAUCUGUGCACGUAUAUUCUUCCUUCCUGCCUAUUAAUUACUGUUACUGCUCCUAUCUAAAGCCAGUUCUUCUAUUUGUACAAUAGAUUCCAUUCCCUCUUGUUUUCCCAAGGAUUUCAUUCCAGAAAUUCCUGCCUCUCCCACAUCAUCAAUUUUUCCCUUUUACUGGAUCAUUCUCAGCAGCACACAAAUACACCUUUCUUUUCACUUAUCUAAAAAAUAACUUAUCAUAAUCCUACUUCCCCUGCCAGAUACUGCUCUAUUCCUCUGCUCCCAUUUGCAACAAAACUCCUUCAGAAUUUUCUAUUCGCUGUCUGUGGAUACUUUUCUCUCAUUUUCUUUUAAGCAUACUUCAGUCAAGAUUUUGCUCCCCUAAUCCACUACUCCAUAGAUGCUGUUUUUGUCAAAGUCACCAGCAGUCUGUACCCUGUUAAUCCAGAUACCAAAUCUCAGUCUUUUUUCCCCACCAUUUUUAAAUACUUUCCUCACUUGGUUUUCAGUAUAUUACAUGUCCUGAG